This 439-nucleotide ribosomal RNA is filed under the name uncultured bacterium. RNAcentral describes it as "partial 16S ribosomal RNA". It matches the Rfam family "Bacterial small subunit ribosomal RNA", at positions 339 to 795 of the family's 1533-position model. The record is from RNAcentral.
CUACGGGUUGCUCCAGUGAGGAAUAUUGCACAAUGGAGGAAACUCUGAUGCAGCAACGCCGCGUGGAGGAUGACGCAUUUCGGUGUGUAAACUCCUUUUAUAUGUCAAGAAAAUGACGGUAGCAUAUGAAUAAGCACCGGCUAACUCCGUGCCAGCAGCCGCGGUAAUACGGAGGGUGCAAGCGUUACUCGGAAUCACUGGGCGUAAAGGACGCGUAGGCGGGAUAUCAAGUCAGGUGUGAAAUCCUACAGCUUAACUGUAGAACUGCACUUGAAACUGGUAACCUAGAGUAUGGGAGGGGGAGAUGGAAUUAGUGGUGUAGGGGUAAAAUCCGUAGAUAUCACUAGGAAUACCUAAAGCGAAGGCGAUCUCCUGGAACAUAACUGACGCUAAGGCGUGAAAGCGUGGGGAGCAAACAGGAUUAGAUACCCCGGUAGUC